Long non-coding RNA from Episyrphus balteatus (marmalade hoverfly), 919 nucleotides. RefSeq lists it as uncharacterized. Lineage: Eukaryota; Metazoa; Arthropoda; Insecta; Diptera; Syrphidae. The transcript is spliced from 2 exons. The record is from RefSeq and is a predicted model, not a curated record.
AAAUAUUUGUAUGCAUGGAUAAAUUUUAACAAAUAAGUAAAAAUUGAUUCUUCCAGGUUGAAUUUUGUUGUCUUUACAAUUGAUAAUGUUAUUAACUUUUUUAACCUCCGGACCGGAUUUAUCAACUUCACAUUUUGCAAUCAGCCAAAUAAUAACAGAAAAUGUUUCGCUCACCUCUAAAACCUGAGUCGGCCAAAAGUAGAAGCUAGGACACCUUCCCACGAUCCACUUGAUUCGACUAGAGUGCUAGAAAUUCAUUUUCGCGGACUAUUUUUUUACUAACGCUUCCUCAACAGUGCUAGUCUUAGCUAUAUCAACUCUAUGGAAGAUGGGAAAUUUUGGUCAAUACAGCAAAGUCGAAACUUGUCUGCAUCAGGAGACAUGGUGAACAACAGCCAACAAAACACACUCCUUCAGCAGCCAGAAGGAACUAAAAAUAACUCGCAAUCACGAAAUGUGCUGAGGAAAGCUAACCUUACAUUCCAACUAAAAAAAAAGACCAGACUUAAGCCAACUCUAAGAUCUCUAGACUAUACGGAAGCUACAGUUGUUUGAGGGGAAUGUUGUGAUGAUAUGAUCGAUUGCGGCAGCGAAUAAUAAAUCGAGUCUACAAGGCAUUCAAAAUAAUGCCAACUUAUUAGCACCUAGAGGAAUCGGAAAAGAUAUCAACUUGUUAUACCAAUAACCAGCCAAUCUGCUGUUAAAAAGGAUGACUGCCAAGGAACGACAUCCCGUACCUAGAUUCUUGAGUGCCACUCAAAUCUAGGAUAGAAUUCCAACGGACAACGGAGAAACAGUUUCCAUUUACGGUGACUCGGAUUCAACUUUGAACCGUAGGAAUGGCUAAUCGCCAACACAACCUCAACUAAAUAACCAAAUAUUAAUAUCCAAAUACCAAAUGUGACAAAAUUCAUAAGAA